GCACAAGCGGUGGAGCAUGUGGAUUAAUUCGAUGCAACGCGAAGAACCUUACCUGGGUUUGACAUGCACAGGACGUGCCUAGAGAUAGGUAUUCCCUUGUGGCCUGUGUGCAGGUGGUGCAUGGCUGUCGUCAGCUCGUGUCGUGAGAUGUUGGGUUAAGUCCCGCAACGAGCGCAACCCUUGUCUCAUGUUGCCAGCGCGUUAUGGCGGGGACUCGUGAGAGACUGCCGGGGUCAACUCGGAGGAAGGUGGGGAUGACGUCAAGUCAUCAUGCCCCUUAUGUCCAGGGCUUCACACAUGCUACAAUGGCCGGUACAAACCGCUGCAAACCCGCGAGGGGGAGCUAAUCGGAAAAAGCCGGCCUCAGUUCGGAUUGGAGUCUGCAACUCGACUCCAUGAAGCUGGAAUCGCUAGUAAUCGUGGAUCAGCAUGCCACGGUGAAUACGUUCCCGGGC
RNAcentral lists this ribosomal RNA (455 nucleotides) under uncultured bacterium. RNAcentral's name for it is "bacterial SSU rRNA". It matches the Rfam family "Bacterial small subunit ribosomal RNA", at positions 923 to 1379 of the family's 1533-position model. The record is from RNAcentral.